AUACGGAGGAUCCGAGCGUUAUCCGGAUUUAUUGGGUUUAAAGGGUGCGCAGGCGGGAGAUUAAGUCGGCGGUGAAAUUUUUCAGCUCAACUGUAAAAGUGCCUUCGAAACUGGUUUUCUUGAGUGUAGAUGAAGUAGGCGGAAUUUGUGGUGUAGCGGUGAAAUGCAUAGAUAUCACGAGGAACUCCGAUUGCGCAGGCAGCUUACUAAACUACUACUGACGCUCAGGCACGAAGGCGUGGGGAUCAAACAGGAUUAGAUACCCUGGUAGUCCACGCAGUAAACGAUGAUUACUAGCUGUUUGCGAUACAAUGUAAGCGGCUGAGCGAAAGCGUUAAGUAAUCCACCUGGGGAGUACGUUCGCAAGAAUGAAACUUAAAGGAAUUGACGGGG
RNAcentral lists this ribosomal RNA (393 nucleotides) under uncultured bacterium. RNAcentral's name for it is "partial 16S ribosomal RNA". It matches the Rfam family "Bacterial small subunit ribosomal RNA", at positions 523 to 918 of the family's 1533-position model. The record is from RNAcentral.